CCUACGGGAGGCUGCAGUGGGGGAUAUUGCACAAUGGGGGAAACCCUGAUGCAGCGACGCCGCGUGAGUGAAUAAGUAUCUCGGUAUGGUAAGCUCCAUUAGCAGGGAAGAAAAUGACAGUACUUGUCCAAGAAGCCCCGACUAACUAUGUGCCAGCAGCCGCGGUAAUAAGGAGGGGGCAAGCGUUAUCCGGAUUUACUGGGAGUAAAGGGAGAGUAGACGGUUUUGUAUGUCUGGAGUGAAAGCCCGGGGCCCAACCCCGGGACGGCUUUGGAAACUGGGUAACUGGAGUACAGGAGGGGCAGGCGGAAUUCCUGGUGUAGCGGUGAAAUGCGUAGAUAUCAGGAGGAACACCGGCGGCGAAGGCGGCCUGCUGGACUGAAACUGACGUUGAGGCACGAAAGCGUGGGGAGCGAACAGGAUUAGAUACCCUAGUAGUC
Molecule: ribosomal RNA, 440 nt
Filed under: uncultured bacterium
Lineage: Bacteria
Description: partial 16S ribosomal RNA
Rfam family: Bacterial small subunit ribosomal RNA
Source: RNAcentral